GACGAACGCUGGCGGCGUGCUUAACACAUGCAAGUCGAACGGGCUGCCUGGUUUUCGGAUCGGGUGGUGAGUGGCGAACGGGUGAGUAACACGUGAGUAACCUGCCCCUCUCUUUGGGAUAACGUCGGGAAAUCGGCGCUAAUACCGGGUAUUCUGGCUUCCUCGCAUGGGGUUGUUGGGAAAGGUUUUUUCUGGUGGGGGAUGGGCUCGCGGCCUAUCAGCUUGUUGGUGGGGUGCUGGCCUACCAAGGCGGCGACGGGUAGCCGGCCUGAGAGGGUGUCCGGCCACACUGGGACUGAGACACGGCCCAGACUCCUACGGGAGGCAGCAGUGGGGAAUAUUGCACAAUGGGCGGAAGCCUGAUGCAGCGACGCCGCGUGGGGGAUGACGGCCUUCGGGUUGUAAACCUCUUUCAGUGCAGAACAAGGCUCUUUGUGGGUUGAGGGUAUGCGCAGAAGAAGCGCCGGCUAACUACGUG
This 478-nucleotide ribosomal RNA is filed under the name uncultured bacterium. RNAcentral's name for it is "partial 16S ribosomal RNA". It matches the Rfam family "Bacterial small subunit ribosomal RNA", at positions 28 to 507 of the family's 1533-position model. The record is from RNAcentral.